Molecule: ribosomal RNA, 465 nt
Filed under: uncultured bacterium
Lineage: Bacteria
Description: partial 16S ribosomal RNA
Rfam family: Bacterial small subunit ribosomal RNA
Source: RNAcentral
GACGAACGCUGGCGGCACGCUUAACACAUGCAAGUCGAACGAGAGAAGAGAAGCUUGCUUUUCUGAUCUAGUGGCGGACGGGUGAGUAACACGUGAGCAAUCUGCCUUUCAGAGGGGGAUACCGAUUGGAAACGAUCGUUAAUACCGCAUAACAUAAUUGAACCGCAUGAUUUGAUUAUCAAAGAUUUAUCGCUGAAAGAUGAGCUCGCGUCUGAUUAGCUAGUUGGUAAGGUAACGGCUUACCAAGGCGACGAUCAGUAGCCGGACUGAGAGGUUGAUCGGCCACCUUGGGACUGAGGCACGGCCCAGACUUCUUCGGGAGGCAGCAGGAGGGAAUAUUGCACAAUGGAGGAAACUCUGAUGCAGCGAUGCCGCGUGAGGGAAGAAGGGUUUGGGAUUGUAAACCUCUGUCUUCAGGGACGAAAAAAGACGGUACCUGAGGAGGAAGCUCCGGCUAACUACGUG